RNAcentral lists this long non-coding RNA (2435 nucleotides) under Pelobates cultripes (western spadefoot toad). Lineage: Eukaryota; Metazoa; Chordata; Amphibia; Anura; Pelobatidae. The record is from RNAcentral.
UGUAAAACCAGUCACAUACACAGAAUGUUUUAUACAAUAAUGCAGUUUUGCAUAUCAAUUUCUUACACCAGUACAUUUCUUUCAGGUUUUUCCAGCAGUAAAAGUUAUCAAGAAGCACCGGAGAAGAACAGAAAUACACUAAGCAAGAUUAUGAAGAAAUCUUUCAAAACAAUGACCAAAAGUUCGAACUCUAAAAACUCUAGAAAUCUUUUACAAUCCUCUCUGUCUACAAAUGAAUUAGUAAACAGAAAAUUAAAGCUUUUCCCUUGUUCUGAAUGUGAGAAAUGUUUUAACGAUCGCUCAAGUCUUGUUGUGCACAAGAGAACUCAUACAGGAGAGAAACCUUUCUCAUGCAUGGAAUGUGGAAAAUGUUUUAUCCGUAAAGCACAUCUUGUUAGACACACAAGAACUCACACAGGAGAGAAACCUUUUUCAUGUUCAGAAUGUGGAAAAUGUUUUAGCUAUGAAUCAAAUCUUGUUGCACACCAGAAAAUUCACACAGGAGAGAAACCUUUCUCAUGUUCAGAAUGUGUGAAAUGUUUUAGUGUUCAAUCAAGUCUGGUUAGUCAUCAAAAAACUCACACAGGCGUGAAAUCUUUCUCGUGUUCAGAAUGUGGGAAAUGUUUUAGCAUUAAAUCAAAUCUGGUCACCCAUCAAAGAACUCACACAGGAGUGAAACCUUUCCCAUGUUCAGAAUGUGGGAAAUGUUUUAGCAUUAAAUCAAGUCUGGUUGGACACCAGAGAACUCACACAGGAGAGAAACCGUUCUCAUGUUCUGAAUGUGGAAAACGUUUUAGCAAUCAAUCAAGUAUUGUUAGGCAUGAGAGAACUCACACAGGAGAGAAACCAUUUUCAUGUUCUGAAUGUGGAAAAUGUUUUAGCCAACCCUCCCACCUUGUUGGGCACAAGAGAAUUCACACAGGAGAGAAACCAUUCUCAUGUUCUGAAUGUGGAAAAGAUUUUAGUGAUCACUCACAUCUUGUUUUGCACAAGAGAACUCACACAGGAGAGAAACCUUUCUCAUGUCUUGAAUGUGGGAAAUGUUUUAGCCUGCCUUCACAUCUCGUUAAACAUCAGAGAAGUCACACAGGAGAGAAACCUUUCUCAUGUUCAGAAUGUGGGAAAUGUUUUAGUGUUCAAUCAAAUCUUGUUGCACACCAGAGAACUCACACAGGUGAGAAACCUUUCUCUUGUUCGGAAUGUGGGAAAUGUUUUAGAGUUCAAUCAAGUCUUGUUAGUCAUCAGACAACUCACACAGGAGUGAAACCUUUCUCUUGUUCAAUAUGUGGAAAAUGGUUUAGCGUUCCUUCAAAUCUUGUCACCCAUCAGAGAACUCACACAGGAGAGAAACCAUUCCCAUGUUCUGAAUGUGGAAAAUGUUUUAACAGUCAAUCAAAUCUUGUUGGACACCAGAGAGCUCACACAGGAGAGAAACCGUUCUCAUGUUCUGAAUGUGGAAAACGUUUUAGCAAUCAAUCAAGUAUUGUUAGGCAUGAGAGAACUCACACAGGAGAGAAACCUUUUACAUGUUCUGAAUGUGGGAAAUGUUUUACCCUGCAUUCACAUCUUGCUAAACACGAAAGAACUCACACAGGAGAGAAGCCGUGAUCGUGUAAAGAAUGUGGGAAAAGUUUUCUCAGCACUUGUUACACAUCAGACAACACAUACUGGAGAAGAACUUUUCUCGUGUCCUAAAUAAGUUAAAUGUUUUAACCAGCACUCAAACAUUAUCAGAGAAAUCAUACAAAAUUGAAAUUGUGAUGUUUAUUUAAAGUUAAUAUUGUAUUUGUUAACUAAUUAUAGCCUAUGUAGUAAUUAAUCAUUUUAUAAUAUUGAUUAAAGCAAGAGCUACUGAUGGGUCAUUAAUAAUGUUGACCCAAUCACAAUAACUCUAUUAUGAUCCUUUUUUUUUUUUUUCAAAGCAGUCAAGCUUUAUGGAUCAUAAUCAUUCAGAAGAUUUAGUAACACAUAAACAAGCAUUGUGCCUUUAUUGCAUUUAACAGAUUGAAUAAUAAAAAAUAAAAAAAAAUACUUUUAAACUACCUUCUCAUUUUUGAGGUAUUAGUGUUUUAUGAGUGAACAGAACAAACACUUCCCUAAGAUGAUCACUGUGACGGACCGCCUGACAUCCCAACCGGGUGCCUCCACCAAUCGCUGCUCCUAGUGCUCACUGUGACGGACACCCCGAGUGAGCAGGGGUAUAUGCCGCCAUAGAUGUCCUUUUUCCCUAUGUCACGUAUUCAUCUGCUUAUAAAAAUGUGGUUAAUGACAUUUACUGUCCACACAUGAAAAGUUGUGCUGAGCAGCAACCAAAUCCACAGAAGGGUUAAUGCUGAGCAGCAAUUAUGCAAAUGGGAACCUGGUAACUGCUUUGAGGUCAAAGGCCGGUUACAGCCUAUCAGAUCUAGAGGAGGGGUAUUUAGGCCCAGUUCUCA